AAUGUGUUCAAAUCUGUUUUUUCAGAGCAGCCAGCCUCCGCCUCUCUAUUCUUUGUUCUUCCCAUAUUUCAUAUCGAAACCCUAGCUUAAUCUCCCAAAUGGGCAAAUCAAGCAAGAAAUCUGCCACCAAAGUAUGCUUCUUUUGAACUGCUUUCGCUUCGUCAAGUCUUUGAUUUUGAUUCGAUGAUUUCGUUAACUAAUUGGGUUUUGAUUUUCCUUACAGGUUGAGGCUCCCGCUGUAGUUGUUCCAGCUCCUAAGUCUGGAAAGAAAGGUUUCGAUUCUUUUCGGAGUUUUGGGAUGUUGUUGUUUUGAUUUAAUUUUA
RNAcentral lists this long non-coding RNA (323 nucleotides) under Malus domestica (apple). RNAcentral describes it as "long non-coding RNA (MDOM_LNC016770)". Lineage: Eukaryota; Viridiplantae; Streptophyta; Magnoliopsida; Rosales; Rosaceae. The record is from RNAcentral.